GCCGGGCGUGGUGGCACACGCCUGUAAUCCCAGCUACUCGGGAGGCUGAGGCAGGAGAAUUGCUUGAGCCCGGGAGACGGAGGUUGCAGUGAGCAGAGAUCAUGCCACUGCACUCCAGCCUGGCCGACAGAGCGAGACUCUGUCUCAA
Molecule: non-coding RNA, 148 nt
Filed under: Pan paniscus (pygmy chimpanzee)
Lineage: Eukaryota; Metazoa; Chordata; Mammalia; Primates; Hominidae
Also listed under: 1 other name
Source: Rfam by way of RNAcentral